Molecule: long non-coding RNA, 5123 nt
Organism: Oncorhynchus tshawytscha (Chinook salmon)
Lineage: Eukaryota; Metazoa; Chordata; Actinopteri; Salmoniformes; Salmonidae
Source: Ensembl
AGCAAAUUCAUAUUUAAAUGCUAUGACAAAUAUGAACACUACCACAAUUUAAUGAUUUCCCUUUAUAUUAAUUGAUGAAUACAAUUAUCUUAAAAUGUAUUCCAAUAAUGGCCCAAAAUCUAAAUAAAAACUCAAGAAUAACUACGUACCUGAAACCUAGAACCUCUGUGCGAUUAAAACUGGAUCCAUAUUUGUUUCGAUAAACUGUGUCCAGCUGUAAAAGUAAUAUAAGCAAUUUUAGCAAUUUAUCUUGAGAACUGAAAUGUUGACAAACAAUUUGAGGGAACGUGUUUGACAUAAUGACAAAUAUAAAAACUUAUUUGGGGGAUGAAAUGCCCCUUUAAGAACCUGACAGCUGUACAACUGAAGAUGAACAGUAUUAUUAAAAGAGUGGAAAGUAAAACAGAAUUUACCGCUGUAGCCACAGUACUUGCUAAUGCUUUGAACGCUGGUGAAGAAACAUUUUUCAAAUCUGCUUUGAAGUUUUGCUCCAAUUUGAAGUCCAACUUAACCUCUGGUGGUGGAGGGGCAGGUGUUCUGAUAGUAGUUGAGGAACCAGUUGUAACUGUGGUCAGAGCAACUGUGGUUGUUGUUGGAGUAGCUGUGGUUGUUUUGGGAGGAGCUGUGGUUCUUGUGGGAGCAGCUGUGGUUGUUGUGGGAGCAACUGUGGUUGUUGUGGGAGCAACUGUGGUUGUUGUGGGAGCAACUGUGGUUGUUGUGAGACCAGCUGUGGUUGUUAUUGGAGCAGCUAUGGUUGUUGUUGGAGUAGUUGUGGUUGUUGUAGGAACAGCUAAGGUAGUUGUGGGAGCAGCUGUGGUUGUUGUUGGAGCAGCUGUUGUUGUUAUGAGGGAACCUGUGGUUGUUGUGGGGGCAGCUGUGGUUGUUGUUGGAGCAGCUGUGGUUGUUGUUAGAGCACCUGUGGUUGCUGUUGGAGCAGCUGUUGUUGUUGGAGCAGCUGUGGUUGUUGUUGGACCAGCUGUGGUUGUUGUGAGACCAGCUGUGGUUGUUGUGGGAGCAACUGUGGUUGUUGUGGGAGCAACUGUGGUUGUUGUGGGAGCAACUGUGGUUGUUGUGGGAGCAACUGUGGUUGUUGUGAGACCAGCUGUGGUUGGUGUGAGACCAGCUGUGGUUGGUGUGAGACCAGCUGUGGUUGUUGUGAGACCAGCUGUGGUUGUUGUUGGAGCAGCUAUGGUUGUUAUUGGAGCAGCUGUGGUUGUUGUUGGAGUAGUUAUGGUUGUUGUAGGAAUAGCUGUGGUAGUUGUGGGAGCAGCUGUGGUUGUUGUGGGAGCAAGUGUGGUUGUUGUGGGAGCAAAUGUGUUUGUUGUUAGACCAGCUGUGGUUGUUAGGGGAGCAGCUGUGGUUGUUGCGGGAGCAGCUGUGGUUGUUGUGGGAGCAGCUGUGGUUGUUGUUGGAGCAGUUAUGGUUGUUGUAGCUGCAGCUGUUGUCGUCGUAGCAGCAGCUGAAGUUGCUAUGAGGGAACCUGUGGUUGUUGUUAGAGCAGCUGAGGUUGUUGUUAGAGCAGCUGUGGUUGUUGUUGGAGCAGCUGUGGUUGUUGUUGGAGCAGCUGUGGUUGUUGUUGGAGCAGCUGUGGUUGUUGUUGGAGCAGCUGUGGUUGUUGUUGGAGCAGCUGUGGUUGUUGUUGGAGCAGCUGUGGUUGUUGUAAGAGCAGCUAUGGUUGUUAUUGGAGCAGCUGUGGUUGUUGUUGGAGUAGUUAUGGUUGUUGUAGGAACAGCUAAGGUAGUUGUGGGAGCAGCUGUGGUUGUUGUGGGAGCAACUGUGGUUGUUGUGGGAGCAACUGUGGUUGUUGUGAGACCAGCGGUGGUUGUUAGGGGAGCAGCUGUGGUUGUUGUUGGAGCAGCUGUGGUUGUUGUUAGAGCAGCUGUGGUUGUUGUUAGAGCAGCUGUGGUUGUUGUUGGAGCAGCUGUGGUUGUUGUUGGAGCAGCUGGUGUUGUUGUUGGACCAGCUGUGGUUGUUGUGGGAGCAACUGUGGUUGUUGUGGGAGCAACUGUGGUUGUUGUGGGAGCAACUGUGGUUGUGAGACCAGCUGUGGUUGUUGUGAGACCAGCUGUGGUUGUUGUGAGACCAGCUGUGGUUGUUGUGAGACCAGCUGUGGUUGUUGUUGGAGCAGCUGUGGUUGUUGUUGGAGCAGCUGUGGUUGUUGUUGGAGCAGCUGUGGUUGUUGUAAGAGCAGCUAUGGUUGUUAUUGGAGCAGCUGUGGUUGUUGUUGGAGUAGUUAUGGUUGUUGUAGGAAUAGCUGUGGUAGUUGUGGGAGCAGCUGUGGUUGUUGUGGGAGCAGCUGUGGUUGUUGCGGGAAAAACUGUUGUUGUUGUGGGAGCAAAUGUGUUUGUUGUUAGACCAGCUGUGGUUGUUAGGGGAGCAGCUGUGGUUGUUGCGGGAGCAGCUGUGGUUGUUGUGGGAGCAGCUGUGGUAGUUGUGGGAGCAGCUGUGGUUGUUGUGGGAGCAACUGUGGUUGUUGUGGGAGCAACUGUGGUUGUUGUGAGACCAGCGGUGGUUGUUAGGGGAGCAGCUGUGGUUGUUGUUGGAGCAGCUGUGGUUGUUGUUAGAGCAGCUGUGGUUGUUGUUGGAGCAGCUGUUGUUGUUAUGAGGGAACCUGUGGUUGUUGUGGGGGCAGCUGUGGUUGUUGUUAGAGCAGCUGUGGUUGUUGUUAGAGCAGCUGUGGUUGUUGUUGGAGCAGCUGUUGUUGUUGGAGCAGCUGUGGUUGUUGUUGGACCAGCUGUGGUUGUUGUGAGACCAGCUGUGGUUGUUGUGGGAGCAGCUGUGGUUGUUGUGGGAGCAACUGUGGUUGUUGUGGGAGCAACUGUGGUUGUUGUUGGAGCAGCUGUGGUUGUUGUUGGAGCAGCUGUGGUUGUUGUAAGAGCAGCUAUGGUUGUUAUUGGAGCAGCUGUGGUUGUUGUUGGAGUAGUUAUGGUCGUUGUAGGAAUAGCUGUGGUAGUUGUGGGAGCAGCUGGUAGUUGUGGGAGCAGCUGUGGUUGUUGUUGGACCAGCUGUGGUUGUUGUGAGACCAGCUGUGGUUGUUGUGGGAGCAACUGUGGUUGUUGUGGGAGCAACUGUGGUUGUUGUGGGAGCAACUGUGGUUGUUGUGAGACCAGCUGUGGUUGUUGUGAGACCAGCUGUGGUUGUUGUGAGACCAGCUGUGGUUGUUGUGAGACCAGCUGUGGUUGUUGUUGGAGCAGCUGUGGUUGUUGUUGGAGCAGCUGUGGUUGUUGUUGGAGCAGCUGUGGUCAUUGUAAGAGCAGCUAUGGUUGUUAUUGGAGCAGCUGUGGUUGUUGUUGGAGUAGUUAUGGUCGUUGUAGGAAUAGCUGUGGUAGUUGUGGGAGCAGCUGUGGUUGUUGUGGGAGCAGCUGUGGUUGUUGUGGGAGCAACUGUUGUUGUUGUGGGAGCAAAUGUGUUUGUUGUUAGACCAGCUGUGGUUGUUAGGGGAGCAGCUGUGGUUGUUGCGGGAGCAGCUGUGGUUGUUGUGGGAGCAGCUGUGGUUGUUGUGGAAGCAACUGUGGUUGUUGUGGGAGCAACUGUGGUUGUUAUGAGACCAGUGGUGGUUGUUAGGGGAGCAGCUGUGGUUGUUGUUGGAGCAGUUAUGGUUGUUGUAGCUGCAGCUGUUGUAGUCGUAGCAGCAGCUGAGGUUGUUAUGAGGGAACCUGUGGUUGUUGUGGGGGCAGCUGUGGUUGUUGUUAGAGCAGCUGUGGUUGUUGUUAGAGCAGCUGUUGUUGUUGUUAGAGCAGCUGUGGUUGUUGUUGGAGCAGCUGUGGUUGUUGUAAGAGAAGCUAUGGUUGUUAUUGGAGCAGCUGUGGUUGUUGUUGGAGCAGUAAUGGUUGUAGUAGGUACAGCUAAGGUAGUUGUGGGAGCAGCUGUGGUUGUUGUGGGAGCAGCUGUGGUUGUUGUGGGAGCAGCUGUGGUUGUUGUGGGAGCAACUGUGGUUGUUGUGGGAGCAACUGUGGUUGUUGUGGGAGCAACUGUGGUUGUUGUGAGACCAGCUGUGGUUGUUGUUGGAGCAACUGUGGUUGUUGUAAGACCAGCUGUGGUUGUUGUUGGACCAGCUGUGGUUGUUGUUGGAGCAGCUGUGGUUGUUGUAAGAGCAGCUGUGGUUGUUGUAAGAGCAGCUGUGGUUGUUGUUGGAGCAGCUGUGGUUGUUGUUGGAGUAGUUAUGGUUGUUGUAGGAACAGCUAAGGUAGUUGUGGGAGCAGCUGUGGUUGUUGUGGGAGCAGCUGUGGUAGUUGUGGGAGCAACUGUGGUUGUUAUGAGACCAGUGGUGGUUGUUAGGGGAGCAGCUGUGGUUGUUGUUGGAGCAGUUAUGGUUGUUGUAGCUGCAGCUGUUGUCGUCGUAGCAGCAGCUGAGGUUGUUAUGAGGGAACCUGUGGUUGUUUUGGGGGCAGUUGUGGUUGUUGUUAGAGCAGCUGUGGUUGUUGUUAGAGCAGCUGUGGUUGUUGUUAGAGCAGCUGUGGUUGUUGUUGGAGCAGCUGUGGUUGUUGUAAGAGCAGCUAUGGUUGUUAUUGGAGCAGCUGUGGUUGUUGUAUUAGCAGCUAUGGUUGUUAUUGGAGCAGCUGUGGUUGUUGUUGGAGUAGUUAUGGUUGUUGUAGGAACAGCUAAGGUAGUUGUGGGAGCAGCUGUGGUAGUUGUGGGAGCAGCUGUGGUUGUUGUGGGAGCAGCUGUGGUUGUUGUGGGAGCAGCUGUGGUAGUUGUGGGAGCAACUGUGGUUGUAAUGAGACCAGUGGUGGUUGUUAGGGGAGCAGCUGUGGUUGUUGUUGGAGCAGUUAUGGUUGUUGUAGCUGCAGCUGUUGUCGUCGUAGCAGCAGCUGAGGUUGUUAUGAGGGAACCUGUGGUUGUUGUGGGGGCAGUUGUGGUUGUUGUUAGAGCAGCUGUGGUUGUUGUUAGAGCAGCUGUGGUUGUUGUUGGAGCAGCUGUGGUUGUUGUUGGAGCAGCUGUGGUUGUUGUAAGAGCAGCUAUGGUAGUUGUGGGAGCAGCUGUGGUUGUUGUGGGAGCAGCUGUGGUUGUUGUGGGAGCAACUGUGGUUGUUAUGAGACCAGUGGUGGUUGUUAGGGGAGCAGCUGUGGUUGUUGUUGGAGCAGUUAUGGUUGUUGUAGCUGCAGCUGUUGUCGUCGUAGCAG